GUCUGGCGGCAGUAGCGCGGUGGUCCCACCUGACCCCAUGCCGAACUCAGAAGUGAAACGCCGUAGCGCCGAUGGUAGUGUGGGGUCUCCCCAUGCGAGAGUAGGGAACUGCCAGACA
This 118-nucleotide ribosomal RNA is filed under the name Escherichia coli J53. Lineage: Bacteria; Pseudomonadati; Pseudomonadota; Gammaproteobacteria; Enterobacterales; Enterobacteriaceae. The record is from RNAcentral.